RNAcentral lists this ribosomal RNA (497 nucleotides) under uncultured bacterium. Its description in RNAcentral is "partial 16S ribosomal RNA". It matches the Rfam family "Bacterial small subunit ribosomal RNA", at positions 28 to 507 of the family's 1533-position model. The record is from RNAcentral.
GAUGAACGCUGGCGGCGUGCCUAAUACAUGCAAGUCGAGCGAAUAGACGAUGAGCUUGGUCCUCUGACGUGAGCGACGAAGGGGUGCGUAACGGUUGGAAAACCGAGCUUAAAGAGUGGGAUAACGUGGGGAAACCGGAGCUAAUACCGGAUAAUAUAUUAUACCUCAUGGUUCAGUAGGGAAAGACGGUUUUACGGGCACUUAUAUCACGGUCCGCGGCGCAUUAGCUAGUUGGUAAGGUAACGGCUUACCAAGGCGACGAUGAGUAGCCGACCUGAGAGGGUGAUCGGCCACACGGGAACUGAGACACGGCCCAGACUCCUACGGGAGGCAGCAGUAGGGAAUCUUCCGCAAGGGGCGAAAGCCUGACGGAGCAACGCCGCGUGAGUGAUGAAGUUCUUCGGAUCUUAAAACUCUGUUAUUAGGGAGGAAAAAAUGUGUAAGUAACUAUGCACGUCUUGACGGUACCUAAUCAGAAAGCCACGGCUAACUACGUG